CAAACCAAGUCUCAGGGCUUCUCCUAUCUGUUCCUUGCAAGACCCACCUCAGUGCCCUCUCCUGAACAGGCAUCAGUUGUCAUUUUCUCCCAGAACUGAGUGUUAGUGCCUAGGUACAGUCUGCAGCCGACUCUCACCUCCCCAGCUAUGAAUACCAUGCUCCUGUUAAUUAAGCCCUAGGCGAUCUGUGGUUUUUUGUUGUUGUUUUUUUUCUGAUUGAUCCAUCACCCCAUUGAGUCUUGCCUCCAUCCCUCAGCCACCAUCAUCAUCUCUCCAUCCCUCAGCCACGACCCCAGUUGAGGUCACAUCCUGCCCACA
Molecule: long non-coding RNA, 318 nt
Filed under: Pan troglodytes (chimpanzee)
Lineage: Eukaryota; Metazoa; Chordata; Mammalia; Primates; Hominidae
Description: long non-coding RNA NONPTRT004920
Source: RNAcentral